Molecule: long non-coding RNA, 467 nt
Filed under: Phoenix dactylifera (date palm)
Lineage: Eukaryota; Viridiplantae; Streptophyta; Magnoliopsida; Arecales; Arecaceae
Description: long non-coding RNA (PDAC_LNC017023)
Source: RNAcentral
UUUAUUUGUCUAUAUUGUUAUAUUUGCUUGUUUAAGAAGCUUUGAUUUGUUUUUAUUCUUUGUUUUAAUAUCUUGUAACUUGAUUCAAUCAAGGGAUUGAAUCAAGGGGUUAAAGGUUUGUUGGUGAGCCAAAGGAAAACCAACGGUGUAAGGUUUGUUGGUGAGCCAAAGGGAAAACCAACGGGGUUUAGGUUUGUUGGUGAGCCAAAGGGAAAACCAACGGAGUUUAGGUUUGUUGGUGAGCCGAGGGUAAAACCAACGUGUAAGGGUUUGAUUGUGAUCCCGGAAAAACAAUCGGAGUGGUUCUAGUCGGUGAGCCUGGGAAAACCGACCGAGUUCGUUGUGACCUCGUAAAACAACAAGUUGGGUUGUGAGCUUGUAAAACAACCGACUGUAAUCUGUAGGAUUAUAGUGAAAUUCCCAAGAAGUCUUGGGGAGUGGAUGUAGGUGCUGUGGUGCACCGAACC